This 7663-nucleotide long non-coding RNA is filed under the name Gossypium barbadense (sea-island cotton). RNAcentral's name for it is "long non-coding RNA (GBAR_LNC017601)". The record is from RNAcentral. Lineage: Eukaryota; Viridiplantae; Streptophyta; Magnoliopsida; Malvales; Malvaceae.
UCAGAUCUGUCGAGCUGUGAAACAGGGGAUACUUUAAUGAAUAAACUGUACUAAUUGGCCAAGUCAAAAAUUCUGAAAAUUUUAUGGUAAGUAGUAAUAUGAGUCUAGUUUCAGGGAAAAUUUACGGAUUUAAAUUUUGAGUUCUGUAACUCGAGUUAUAAUUAAAUUAGUGAAAGUCACGCAGGUAGACAGUUUUGUUGUGAACAGUGAAUUUAAUUUUAAAAGCAAUUUUUUUUUAUGCUCCGAAUUGGUAAGUUAAAUUGGAUAACAUCUCGUACUCGAUUCCGGCGACGGUCUCGGGUAAGGGGUGUUACAUUUAGUGGUAUCAGAGCUACGGUUUAGUCGAUUCUCGGACUAACGUAGCGAGUGUAAUAGACUAUCUAUACAUGCCAUAAUUGAAUAAUGAUAGUGUGACGACUCCUGACAUCUUAAAAUGUUUUUUUUAUAGUAAUGGAUUCUAACCGAGAUACAGCUGAUGAUGCUCAAAGUAAUGUGCCUGUUGAAAGUCGAUUUGAGACUCAGGGUCAAGGAGAUGAGGCUCGAGAAGCUUUUCUCCAAAUGAUGAACAAUUGGUACACUGAGUUUGUUAGAACUAAUCCUAAUGCUCAACCUCCUCCGCCCCUUCCUAUUCCUCAAGCUGUUCCCAUAGCUCCUCAACAAACUGAAGUGUUAAGAUUGUCAAAGCCUCCAGUGGACAAAAUUCGAAAGUAUGGAGCCGAAGAGUUCCGAGCUAAUGUAAAUGAUGAUCCUGAAAGAGCAGAGUUCUGGCUUGAUAAUACCAUCAGAGUGUUGGAUGAAUUAUCUUGUACUCCAGAAGAGAGUCUCAAAUGUGCUAUCUCAUUGUUGAGGGAUUCAGCUUAUAAUUGGUGGAAAACUUUAGUGUCAGUGGUGCCUAAAGAGAAAGUUACAUGGGAUUUCUUUCAAGAAGAAUUCCGAAAGAAGUAUGUGAGUCAGCGUUUCAUUGAUCAAAAGAGAAAAGAGUUUCUUGAAUUGAAACAAGGGCGCAUGACGGUAGCCGAAUAUGAACGAGAAUUUGUCAAAUUAAGCAAGUAUGCCCAAGAGUGUGUAUCUAAUGAAGCUACAUUGUGCAAAAGGUUUGAAGAUGGAUUAAACGAGGAUAUCCGAUUGCUAGUGGGAAUUCUUGAAAUUAAAGAGCUAGUGGUACUAGUUGAAAGAGCUAUCAAGGCUGAAGAAUUGAGCAAAGAGAAAAGAAAGGUGGAAAGUGAAGUUAGAGAUGCAAGAAAAAGAUCAAUGGGCAAGCCAUUUCAGUCUCAAGCGAAGAAGUUUAAAGAAAUGAAUAGUCGAUCGAAUGUUUCUAGUGUAAAUUUUCAAAGAGAUCGAGGAAGACAAUAUUCAAGUUCUAAAGCUCAGGCGACUUCUAUGGCAAGUGUAGGUAGUGUUAAACCUACUAGACCGGAAUGUCAACAUUGUGGAAAACGACAUUUCGGGGAAUGUUAUCUAAUCAGUCGAGCAUGUUUUAAAUGUGGAUCUCAAGAUCAUUUUGUGAAAGAUUGUCCAGAAAGAGAAGAGAUAGAAAAAUUUCAGAAUGUGAGAUCGAGCAGUGUGACUACUAGAGGAAGACCAUCGAGAAAUGUGGGGACUGGAACUAGUGGUAAAGGAGUAACAAAAGACACGACUGUAAGAUCUGAAGUGGGAGCUCCAGCAAGAGCUUAUGCCAUCCGAGCUAGAGAGGAAGCGUCUUCCCCCGAUGUGAUCACUGGUAUAUUUUCUCUUUACGACACUAAUGUUCUUGCAUUGAUUGAUCCUGGUUCUACUCACUCGUAUGUAUGUAUGAAUUUAGUGUCUGAUAAGAAUUUGUGUGUUGAAUUGACUGAGUAUGUGAUUAAAGUGUCGAAUCCUUUAGGCAAGCAUGUGAUAGUUGAUAAAAUAUGCAAAAAUUGUCCUUUGAUGAUACAAGGUCAGUGUUUCCCUGCCAACUUGAUGUUGUUGCCAUUUGAUGAAUUUGAUGUUAUUUUGGGAAUGGAUUGGUUGACAUUACAUAAGGCCAAGAUAGAUUGCAGUCAGAAAAUUCUUGAGUUGAAGUGUAGUAGUGGUACAGUUCUUCGGGUUGAAACAGAUAAGUCAAAUGUGAUGCCAAUUGUGAUUUCUGCCAUGUCUGCUCAGAAAUGUUUGAAAAAUGGUUGUGAAGCAUAUCUUGCUUAUGUGUUGAAUACAAAAGUGUCUGAAACAAAGAUCGAAUCAGUGCCAGUGGUAUGUGAAUAUUUAGAUGUGUUCCCAGAAGAGUUGCCAGGUUUGCCUCCGAUUAGAGAAGUAGAGUUUGGUAUUGAAGUAAUGCCAGGUACUGCUCCAAUAUCGAUUGCUCCUUACAGAAUGGCACCAACUGAAUUAAAAGAAUUAAAAGUGCAAUUGCAAGAGUUGACGGAUAAAGGAUUCGUCAGACCAAGUUAUUCUCCGUGGGGUGCUCCCGUGCUAUUUGUGAAGAAAAAGGAUGGGACAUUGAGAUUGUGUAUUGAUUAUCGUCAACUUAAUAAAGUGACAGUAAAGAAUAAAUAUCCAUUGCCCCGAAUAGAUGACUUGUUUGAUCAGUUAAAGGAUGCCACAGUGUUUUCCAAAAUUGAUUUGAGAUCCGGAUAUUACCAAUUGAGGGUUAAAGAGUCAGAUGUGCCAAAGACUGCUUUCAGAACCCGGUAUGGUCACUAUGAGUUUCUUGUAAUGCCUUUUGGUCUGACUAAUGCUCCAGCUAUUUUUAUGGAUUUGAUGAAUCGAAUUUUCCGGCCCUAUUUGGAUAAAUUUGUUGUGGUGUUUAUAGAUGAUAUUCUUAUUUAUUCCCGAAGUGAAGUCGAGCAUGCUGAACAUUUAAGAAUUGUGCUACAAACGCUGCGAGAAAAGAAAUUGUUUGCUAAAUUUAGCAAAAGUGAAUUUUGGCUUAGUGAAGUUGGAUUUUUGGGACAUGUUGUCUCGGGAGAUGGCAUUCGAGUGGAUCCGAAUAAGAUAUCGGCAAUAGUUGAAUGGAAGCCUCCAAGAAAUGUAUCUGAAGUUAGGAGUUUUCUGGGCUUAGCCGGAUAUUAUCGUCGAUUUGUAGAAGGUUUUUCGAUGAUAGCUUCACCGAUGACAAAAUUGUUGCAAAAAGAUGUUAAGUUCGAAUGGACCGAGGAGUGUCAACAAAGUUUUGAGAAAUUAAAGAAGUGUUUAACUGAGGCACCAGUGUUAGUGCAACCUGAGUCAGGAAAGGAAUUUGUUGUUUAUAGUGACGCGUCAUUAAAUGGGCUUGGAUGUGUAUUGAUGCAAGAAGGAAAAGUGAUAACGUAUGCUUCUCGACAAUUGAAACCGCAUGAACGGAAUUAUCCUACCCAUGAUUUAGAGUUGGCUGCUAUUGUCUUUGCUUUGAAGAUUUGGCGUCAUUAUUUAUAUGGUGAGAAAUGUCAUGUUUUUACAGAUCAUAAAAGUUUGAAAUAUGUUAUGACACAAAAAGAUCUGAAUUUGCGGCAGCGAAGAUGGUUGGAAUUGAUGAAAGAUUAUGAACUUGUAAUAGAUUAUCAUCCGGGAAAAGCCAAUAUAGUUGCUGAUGCUUUGAGCAGAAAGUCUCUCUUUGCUUUGAGAGCUUUGAAUACAAGAUUAACAUUGACUGAAGAUGGAUCAUUGCUUGCAGAGUUAAAAGCUAGUCCAUUGUUUCUUCAAGAAAUUUAUGAGGCUCAGAAAGUGGAUAAUGAAUUACAAAGAAAAAAGACUCAGUGUGCAGUGGGCGAUAAUUCUGAUUUUCGGAUUGAUUCAGAUGGAUGUUUAAUGUUUCAUGACAGAAUAUGUGUUCCGAAAAAUGUUGAUUUAAUUCAGAAAAUUUUGCAGGAAGCACAUGAUAGUCGGUUGGCAGUUCACCCCGGUAGUGUAAAAAUGUACAAUGAUUUAAAGAAAUUAUAUUGGUGGCCGGGUAUGAAACGGGAUAUCUCUGAGUAUGUGACAAAGUGUUUUGUGUGCCAACAAGUAAAAGCUGAACACCAAGUACCUUCAGGGUUACUUCAACCCAUUAUGGUGCCCGAGUGGAAGUGGGAUAGAAUUACUAUGGAUUUUGUUUCCGGAUUGCCAUUGUCACCGAAAAAGAAAGACUCAAUUUGGGUAAUAGUUGAUCGAUUGACUAAGUCAGCUCAUUUCAUUCCUGUGCGAAUGAGUUUUUCACUUGACAAGUUAGCUGAAUUGUAUAUUGCUGAGAUAGUUCGAUUACAUGGUGUGCCUGCGUCUAUUAUAUCUGAUAGAGAUCCACGGUUUACUUCAAGGUUGUGGAAGAAAUUACAAGAGGCAUUGGGUACUAAAUUGAAUUUUAGUACAGCAUUUCACCCCCAAACCGAUGGACAGUCUGAAAGAGUAAUUCAAGUGCUCGAAGAUAUGUUGAGAUGUUGUGUAUUGGAAUUUGAAGGUAAUUGGGAAAGAUAUCUACCUUUGGUGGAGUUUGCAUAUAAUAAUAGUUAUCAAUCCAGCAUAAAAAUGGCACCUUAUGAAGCGUUGUAUGGACGAAAGUGUCGGACUCCAUUAUAUUGGACUGAACUUAAUGAAAAUCAGUUACAUGGAGUCGAUUUGGUAAAAGAAACUGAAGAAAAAGUGAAGAUAAUCCGUGAUUGUUUGAAAGCUGCAUCGGAUCGACAGAAGUCGUAUGCGGAUUUGAAAAGAAAAGAGAUUGAGUUUCAAGUGGGUGAUAAAGUAUUUCUGAAAGUGUCUCCAUGGAAGAAAAUUCUGAGAUUUGGCCGUAAAGGUAAAUUAAGUCCAAGAUUUAUUGGUCCGUAUGAAGUGAUAGAAAGAAUUGGUCCAGUGGCUUAUCGAUUGUCUUUACCCCCGGAAUUGGAAAGAAUUCAUAAUGUGUUUCAUGUUUCUAUGUUGAGGCGAUAUCGAUCGGACCCAUCACAUGUGAUUUCACCGACUGAAGUGGAAAUUCGAUCGGAUAUGACAUACGAAGAAGAACCGAUUCGAAUCUUGGCACGAGAAGUGAAACAGUUGAGAAACAAAGAAAUUGCUUUAGUGAAAGUGUUAUGGCAACGACAAGGGAUGGAAGAGGCAACAUGGGAAACCGAGGAGGCUAUGAGGAAACAGUAUCCCAACUUAUUCACUGGUAAGAUUUUCGGGGACGAAAAUCCCUAAGGGGGGAGAAUUGUGAUAGCCCGAAAUAGGGCCUAAUUGGAAUAGUGGUUUCGUAACCACAAAUCCGAAGUGAAAUAGUUUAAUUUUAUAAAUUUUUAUUAGUUACUGAUUGAUUGAAAUAUUGUGUGAAAAUAUGGAUAGGAAAUUUUAAUGCUUUAGUGCUUAAUUGAAUUUUUAGGACUAAAUUGAAAAAAAUGCAAAGUGUGUCUAAUUAGUGAUUAAAUGACUUAAUUGAAUUAUUGCAUGAAAUUGGAAGUGUUUAUGUGGCAAUUAGACCAUAAAUUAGUGUUAUGGACACAAAAGGGUAUUUCUAGAAAAAUAUCUAAGUAAUGGGUCAAGGGCAUUUUUGUCCAAAUUGAAUAAAAGACAAAAUAAAGAUGAAAACAAGUGUUCAUCUUCUUAAAAUCAGACGUUUGCUGCAAAAAAAAUUCAUGUCACCAUAGCUAGGGUUCUUGAACUUCCUAAGCUCAAUUGUAAGUGAUUUCUUGCCCCGUUUUUAAUUAUUUUCGUAUUUUUAUGCUUAUUGAAGCUUGAAUUUCAUGUUUCUACUAUUUAAUUUAAAUGAAAUUAAAGUUUGAAAAUUUACCCAUUCAUGAUAUAAUUGUAAAUUGAUUAGUGAUGUUAGAUAAUGAAUGUUUGAAGUGUUAAUUACAAGUUUUACUAGAUGAAUUUUGAUGAAAAUGUUGAAAAAGGGCUAAAUUGUGAAAGAUGGUAAAGUGUGCAUAAAGUUGUGAUUUUGUGAAAUUGAGGGCUGUUAUGAGCAUGAAAUAUGAUUUAGUGAAGUUUGAAAUUUAAAAAUUUAGUGAAUUUUAUUUUUACGAGCUUAGGGACAAAAGUGGAAUUUUUGAAAAGUUUCGGGGAAAAAUGUAAAUUUGCCAAAAUGUUGUGUAUGAAUUGUAUUUGAAUGAAAUGUUGAUAAAAAUGUAUUAAAUUGUGUUAAUAUAGAUCAAGAAAGAAGAAAUAGUGCAAGUGAUCGGGGAAAAGAGAAAGUUAUCGACUAAAUUACAAAAAAAUAGUCGUUUUGCAUCCGAGGUAAGUUAUAUGUAAAUAAUAGUUAUAUUUGUAUAAAUUGUGAAUUAUAUUUGAUAUGUGAAUUAAUAUUGAAUGUGGAAGGAAAAUUGUUCAUGAAUUAUUCAAGUAAUAAAGUGUUAAGUGUAAAUUCCCGGUUGAACUUAGGAAUAGAAUUGGAUACAAGUGACAUGUCACUAGAGACCAGUGUUACAGUGUUACAGUGUUACAGUGAGUCCCGGGUGCUGGGUGAUCUAGCAUGUGUUGCAGACACCUGACAGCUUGUGUGAGCAGGCCCGUGGACAUUUCCAGUGUUAUUGAUCAGUGGUAGCUUCGGCUACAUUUCAGUGGUAGCUUCGGCUACAUAUCAGUGGUAGCUUCGGCUACAUAUCAGUGUGGCACUUAUGUGCUAAAUCUCUACGUAUCCGUGUAUAUUCCAACUGUUCAACGGGAUUAAUAAUGAAUUAAAGUGAAUAUGAAAUGUUAAGUGUGAAAAUGUAUAUGCAAGUGAAUUGGUAAGAUUGUGCAUGUGUAAGUGAUUGAAAUUGCUAAGAAAUGUUUUGAUUAGUUAUAUGUUAAAAGUGUUAAUUACUAAAUGAGUAAUUAUUGUUUACAUGUAACUUACUAAGCUAUUUAUAGCUUACACAUCUCUUUCUUUCCUUUGUUUUAUAGUGAUUUGAACUUGAUCGAAUAGUGGACCGUCGGAGCUCGUAUCACACUAUCAUAGCCAUCUCGGUAUUAUGUGCUUUUCAAAAUGUUUGAACUAUGGCAUGUAUAGAGUCUUAAUCAUCUUGAGCAUGUUCAAAUGAUAUGGCUAAGAUUAGCUAUUGAAAUGGUUAGUAAAGAUUAUGUUUUGGUAUUAUGUAUGUGUAAAUGGUAACUAAUUCAAAGAAGCAGUUUCUUUGACAGCAGCAGUGACGUGAAUGUAAAAAUUCACCAUAAAUAGUAGAAAUGGAAUUAGAGAGUGAAUUAUAUAUGGAAUUAAAUCUUAUCAAGUCUAUUUUUAUAUGAAAGAAACGAUGUAGGAAAAGGAAUUCUGUAUUUUGAGAUAUUUGAAUUUUAGUGAGAUAGGGUCAGAAUGGUUUUUGAAGUCCCCUGUUCUGACUUUGAAAAAUCAUUAUAAAUUGUACAGAAAGAAUUAUGGGUCAUAAUUUAUAUGUGUAGAUUUCUUAGUGAGUCUAUUUUCAAAAGAAAAAAACGAUAACCUUAUAUGUAUUCUGUACAAAGAGAUAAUUGAUUUUUAGUGCCGAGAGGUCAGAUCUGUCGAGCUGUGAAACAGGGGAUACUUUAAUGAAUAAACUGUACUAAUUGGCCAAGUCAAAAAUUCUGAAAAUUUUAUGGUAAGUAGUAAUAUGAGUCUAGUUUCAGGGAAAAUUUACGGAUUUAAAUUUUGAGUUCUGUAACUCGAGUUAUAAUUAAAUUAGUGAAAGUCACGCAGGUAGACAGUUUUGUUGUGAACAGUGAAUUUAAUUUUAAAAGCAAUUUUUUUUUUAUGCUCCGAAUUGGUAAGUUAAAUUGGAUAACAUCUCGUACUCGAUUCCGGCGACGGUCUCGGGUAAGGGGUGUUACA